CCUACGGGUGGCAGCAGUGAGGAAUAUUGGUCAAUGGUCGGGAGACUGAACCAGCCAAGCCGCGUGAGGGAUGAAGGUACAGAGUAUCGUAAACCUCUUUUGUCAGGGAACAAAGGCGGGGACGUGUCCCCGGAUGAGUGUACCUGAAGCAAAAGCAUCGGCUAACUCCGUGCCAGCAGCCGCGGUAAUACGGGGGAUGCGAGCGUUAUCCGGAUUUAUUGGGUUUAAAGGGUUCGCAGGCGGUCUGUUAAGUCAGCGGUAAAAGCCCGGGGCUCAACCCCGGCCCGCCGUUGAAACUGGCAGUCUCGAGUUGGAGAGAGGUAUGCGGAAUGCGCGGUGUAGCGGUGAAAUGCAUAGAUAUCGCGCAGAACUCCGAUUGCGAAGGCAGCAUGCCGGCUCCACACUGACGCUGAGGCACGAAAGCGUGGGUAUCGAACAGGAUUAGAUACCCGAGUAGUC
This 459-nucleotide ribosomal RNA is filed under the name uncultured bacterium. RNAcentral describes it as "partial 16S ribosomal RNA". It matches the Rfam family "Bacterial small subunit ribosomal RNA", at positions 338 to 795 of the family's 1533-position model. The record is from RNAcentral.